Molecule: long non-coding RNA, 415 nt
Filed under: Nicotiana benthamiana
Lineage: Eukaryota; Viridiplantae; Streptophyta; Magnoliopsida; Solanales; Solanaceae
Description: long non-coding RNA (NBEN_LNC029891)
Source: RNAcentral
UUCCGAAACGGUUCUCUGAAGCUCAGUCAGAUUUUGAUGAUUCCGAAAUGAAUCAAAAAUUAUAUUAAUUGAUGGAUCUCUGCCAAGAACCAUGAGCUAAUAUUAGUUUUAACUCAAAUAGGUUAAAACAAUGGAAACAAAGCUUAGCGUUUCUGGUCGUUUUUACAUCUAAAAAAUGAUGAAUUCUAAGGUAUUUUGAUGAAAACCAAGAAGGGCUAUAAGAUGAUGAGGGGGAGAAUGUUAUGGGAUGUGGAUUUGGGUGGGUUUGGAGGAAUUACGUUAGCCGCAGCCGGUGGAGCAUUAUUGAGUGGCUAGGGUUAGGAUUAAGAGAGAGAGAGAUGGGGAAAUGGGGAGGGCUCUGUGAGUUUUGGAGGUAUGGGAAAGUUCUGACACUUAUAUGAGCAGUCGUGCUUCU